AAGAUAGAGUCCAAUCUUUCAUGACAGCCUGGAACUCUAAUAAAAAUCUUCAUCACACCAAUUCCCAGAGGUACAGAAUGAUACAAUUGUGAAUGAUUGAUAUUCAUCCAUCUGCAAUAUUCAGACUCUGUGCCAGCCUCCCAAGAAUUACUGUCACCCAAAUACAUAAGACAAAAUACAGACUGGCCAGGAUGCUGCUGUGGGCCUUAUGACUGCUCCCUCAUUACUGUAUGCUGUACAGAGUAUCCUGUCUUGGGCGAAGUUACAAUCUGAAAGCAACGCUACAUUAAGCAAGUGGUGAGCAAGCAUGAUUACAAGUGCAACUGCGAGUCACUUACCAUUAAUUCCUGUGGGUGUACGUACAGAUGGAGAUAGAGACCCACCUCCCUUGGGAAACACCAGCUUCAAUCUGUUCUUCUUGUGACACAAGCCGUGAAUGCCAUGGAGAGAUAAAUUCAACUACAUUCUUUCCUGUAAUGGGAAUGGUAUUUCACUAUGCUGUUACCUCCUCCCAUGUAGCCUCACAUGUGCUCAGAAAUGCAACAGAUUCUACAGCAGUUUUAAGAUUUGUCUUCUGAAAAUGUCAUUUUGAAGCUGUGAAAUCAGCCGUGCUCAAAAUGAAAAGCACGCUCAAUGGUAUGGAAAGAGAUGGAAGCUAGAAUUUCUUCUUUAUGCCAUUUCUUCUGACCCCAGAAAAUGCUGACCUCCUGCAUCUGUCCAUUUUGACUGACAAAUAAGUGGUCAGUUUGGAUAAAAACCAAAGAUCAGAACUAAUAAAUGUGUUGGCAGGAACA
Molecule: long non-coding RNA, 794 nt
Filed under: Anser brachyrhynchus (Pink-footed goose)
Lineage: Eukaryota; Metazoa; Chordata; Aves; Anseriformes; Anatidae
Description: lncRNA (ENSABRG00000006306.1)
Source: RNAcentral